GCGGGAAUAGCUCAGUUGGUAGAGCACGACCUUGCCAAGGUCGGGGUCGCGAGUUCGAGUUUUUCUUCCAUCU
This 73-nucleotide transfer RNA is filed under the name Klebsiella pneumoniae. Its description in RNAcentral is "tRNA-Gly". It matches the Rfam family "tRNA". Rfam says of the family: Transfer RNA (tRNA) molecules are approximately 80 nucleotides in length. Their secondary structure includes four short double-helical elements and three loops (D, anti-codon, and T loops). Lineage: Bacteria; Pseudomonadati; Pseudomonadota; Gammaproteobacteria; Enterobacterales; Enterobacteriaceae. The record is from RNAcentral.